UAGACUUGAUAAAACAUAGAUGUUACUCGAAAAAUGACAAAACAUGACACGGUCAAUUUUGAAGUAAAGACUUGAAAUUAGACUUACUGAUAUAGCAAGGCUAUCUCAAUAAUGUUAUAUGGGAAUUAAAUCUCAAAUGUUGAAGAUUUAAGAAAGCAUUUUCCUAUGUGAUAGGAAAUCACUUUCAUAACCCUUAUAAUGAAUGUGUCAUAAAAUCACAAAAGGGACACGUGUAUUGACUUGUGAAGUAGAUAUCCAAAGGUGAAGAAACCACUGAGUUUAUCACUUUAAGAUAUUACUAUAUCCCAGGAUCAGAACCAAAGCAACUGAUAGAGUAUUAUUGCCUUUUAAGAAAGAAACAUCAGAGUGGGACUCUGGAAGCGUGCAUUCACUUAGGUUGUUAACCAAAGUGAAAAAUAAGCCAUUUUAACAAAUGGAACUUCAUGUUGGAUGAAGUACUAAUCAUAUGAAUGAAUUGUUAGUAUUGUACUACAAUGGUCUCAAGAUUGGAGCAAAGUUUGUAUAAAGUAUACAAACGAAAUAUAUGUAGAUAUAUAAGUUUUAGAAACUGCUUCAAAAAGGUGUUUUGAAUGAAAGGGGUUCUUUUAGAACCCAUGAUUGAAUCCAAACCAUAAGGUCGUUAGUAGAGUACUACGACGUAAUGGGGCGAUAGCUCAAGCCAUGGAAUCAAGGUCUCAUCAAAUUUUUCGAACACAUUAAAGAGACAUCAUCAAAUGUCUUGGAAACAUUUGAUAAGUAAAUCCCUUUUAAAAUAAAAGAGAUUAAUACAUAACCAAGUUGACCUACGAGCAUAAACUCUCUCGACAAGAUGUAUAAGAUACACAAGUGAUUGACUUUAGUGCAAGUGGGAGAUUGUUGGAAAUAUGCCCUGAAAGUCAAUCUUUGGAAGAAAUCUUUCAGGACAAAUGAAUCGAUGUAUGGAUGAUUCUUAUACAUCAAAUGGCAAAGAUACUAAUUAGGACUAUCUCAAUAAACGAAAUAUGUCCUAAAUAGUGAAUCCAUGGACAAUGGAUUGAUUGAAGAAGUAAUCUAAUGAUGUUAGACUACAGAGACCUUCUUCACAUAACCAUUAUGUCCAAAAGGUUCCUGGUCGUUGGAUUGUCAGAGGGAUACUGACAAUGCUUAGACUGGU
This 1153-nucleotide long non-coding RNA is filed under the name Malus domestica (apple). Its description in RNAcentral is "long non-coding RNA (MDOM_LNC015352)". Lineage: Eukaryota; Viridiplantae; Streptophyta; Magnoliopsida; Rosales; Rosaceae. The record is from RNAcentral.